RNAcentral lists this ribosomal RNA (406 nucleotides) under uncultured bacterium. Its description in RNAcentral is "partial 16S ribosomal RNA". It matches the Rfam family "Bacterial small subunit ribosomal RNA", at positions 30 to 526 of the family's 1533-position model. The record is from RNAcentral.
AUUGAACGCUGGCGGCAGGCCUAGCACAUGCAAGUCGAGCGAGCGGCGGACGGGUGAGUAAUGUCUGGGAAACUGCCUGAUGGAGGGGGAUAACUACUGGAAACGGUAGCUAAUACCGCAUACCAUCAGAUGGGGCCAGAUGGGAUUAGCUAGUAGGUGGGGUAAUGGCUGACCUAGGCGACGAUCCCUAGCUGGUCUGAGAGGAUGACCAGCCACACGGGAACUGAGACACGUUCCAGAAUCCUACGGGAGGCAGCAGUGGGGAAUAUUGAACAAUGGGCGCAAGCCUGAGGCAGCCAUGCCUCGUGUAUGAAGAAGGCCUGCGGGUUGUAAAGUACUUUCAGCCGGGAGUCGUUACCCGCAGAAGAAGCACCGGCUAACUCCGUGCCAGCAGCCGCGGUAAUAC